UACGUAGGGUGCAAGCGUUGUCCGGAAUUAUUGGGCGUAAAGGGCUCGUAGGCGGUUUGUCGCGUCGGGAGUGAAAACUCAGGGCUUAACCCUGAGCCUGCUUCCGAUACGGGCAGACUAGAGGUAUGCAGGGGAGAAUGGAAUUCCUGGUGUAGCGGUGAAAUGCGCAGAUAUCAGGAGGAACACCGGUGGCGAAGGCGGUUCUCUGGGCAUUACCUGACGCUGAGGCGCGAAAGCGUGGGGAGCAAACGGG
Molecule: ribosomal RNA, 253 nt
Filed under: uncultured bacterium
Lineage: Bacteria
Description: partial 16S ribosomal RNA
Rfam family: Bacterial small subunit ribosomal RNA
Source: RNAcentral